CGGGGUUGGCUUCAGCUGCAAAGAGCCACCUCACCGCAGGUCUCCUUCCCCGAGCAGCCGCAUCCCGUGUCUGAGGGCCUGGGGAUACAAAGGCUGUCCAUACAGUUCCGCCAAUGUAGGACCCUGGGUGCUGGAGAUCCCGAGAUAACUGAAGAGACCCCCCCAGCAGUCACUGCCAGACUCCACCGGACCUCCUGGCAAGGUGUCCAGCUGGACGGUGGCUCAUUCAUGCUCUCGUUUAGCCUUGGUAUCUGUCCGGCUGUGGGGAGAAUAGGUGUCCUUGUCCUUUCUGGGGGCCCAGGAUCCCUCUGGGCAACAAACCUGAAAACUGUCUUAUAAAUCUUGUAGUACAAGACAGAUACCACCAUCUCUCAUUUGAUUUCACAGAUUUGGAAUUAAAGCUCCUCUCCUGAGGAAAAAAAAAUGCAUUUA
Herpailurus yagouaroundi (jaguarundi) is the source of this 432-nucleotide long non-coding RNA. RefSeq lists it as uncharacterized. The transcript is spliced from 2 exons. The record is from RefSeq and is a predicted model, not a curated record. NCBI's taxonomy places the organism in Eukaryota, Metazoa, Chordata, Mammalia, Carnivora, Felidae.